Molecule: unclassified non-coding RNA, 202 nt
Filed under: Hevea brasiliensis (rubber tree)
Lineage: Eukaryota; Viridiplantae; Streptophyta; Magnoliopsida; Malpighiales; Euphorbiaceae
Source: RNAcentral
GGAAACACACGACUUCUAUAAUGUCUUUGGUCAUUCCAUUUGGUUAAAGUCAAUUGGCAUCAUACUGAAACCUGCUCAGCCGCUCCCAAAUGAACAUAGCCAAAUUCUAGGCUAUCUCCAAUUCCAUAAGUUCUCUCCGGUGACUGUCUUAAAUUGUGGAGAAAUAUUCUUUUCGAUGUAACUAUGAUGUAGUAACAUUUUU